GACGAACGCUGGCGGCGUGCUUAACACAUGCAAGUCGAACGGAAAGGCCCUGCUUUUGUGGGGUGCUCGAGUGGCGAACGGGUGAGUAACACGUGAGUAACCUGCCCCUGACUUUGGGAUAACUUCAGGAAACUGGGGCUAAUACCGGAUAGGAGCUCCUGCUGCAUGGUGGGGGUUGGAAAGUUUCGGCGGUUGGGGAUGGACUCGCGGCUUAUCAGCUUGUUGGUGGGGUAGUGGCUUACCAAGGCUUUGACGGGUAGCCGGCCUGAGAGGGUGACCGGCCACAUUGGGACUGAGAUACGGCCCAGACUCCUACGGGAGGCCGCAGUGGGGAAUAUUGCACAAUGGGCGGAAGCCUGAUGCAGCAACGCCGCGUGCGGGAUGACGGCCUUCGGGUUGUAAACCGCUUUCGCCUGUGACGAAGCGUGAGUGACGGUAAUGGGUAAAGAAGCACCGGCUAACUACGUG
This 468-nucleotide ribosomal RNA is filed under the name uncultured bacterium. Its description in RNAcentral is "partial 16S ribosomal RNA". It matches the Rfam family "Bacterial small subunit ribosomal RNA", at positions 28 to 507 of the family's 1533-position model. The record is from RNAcentral.